CCCUCCCUGCCUGCCUCCCUGCCUGCCUCCCUGCCUUCUUUCCUGCCUUCAUGUGGCAGUUGUUUGAUUGUUAUAGCAAAUUGCCUGACAGAAAGGAGGAAAUACAGUCACACAGACAUGAAAAUUAGUAAUGUGGUAAAGAUUAUUUGCACAAUCUGCAUCUCAUCACUGGAACUCAACACAGGAAAUGACUGACCUGGGACCAGGCUGAACCAUGCUUUUUCCUGCAAUCCUGUUACAGCUUGGUGAAAACAAAGAGGUGUUUAGAAGACUGUGGAAGAGAUUUGUACCACAUAUGUAAAUAUCCCACCUGGACAUAAAUAACAGUUUCCACUGUGCAUUUGGCCACAGAAUAAAGCUUUAUGGCAAAGCCCACAGUUUCCAUCUACCUACUUCUUUCAUAUAAGUGUAUAACUACCGGAGGUGCC
Vidua macroura (Pin-tailed whydah) is the source of this 428-nucleotide long non-coding RNA. RefSeq lists it as uncharacterized. Lineage: Eukaryota; Metazoa; Chordata; Aves; Passeriformes; Viduidae. The transcript is spliced from 4 exons. The record is from RefSeq and is a predicted model, not a curated record.